RNAcentral lists this non-coding RNA (445 nucleotides) under Helicobacter sp. MIT 05-5294. RNAcentral's name for it is "bacterial LSU rRNA". It matches the Rfam family "Bacterial large subunit ribosomal RNA", at positions 1 to 477 of the family's 2925-position model. The record is from RNAcentral. Lineage: Bacteria; Pseudomonadati; Campylobacterota; Epsilonproteobacteria; Campylobacterales; Helicobacteraceae.
UUUAAGGGCAGAUGGUGGAUGCCUUGGGUGAUAGAGGCGAUGAAGGACGUACUAGACUGCGAUAAGCUACGGGGAGCUGUCAAGAAGCUUUGAUCCGUAGAUUUCCGAAUGGGGCAACCCAAUGCGUAGCAAUGCGCAUUACCUUUAAUGGAGCGAACCUAGCGAAGUGAAACAUCUCAGUAGCUAGAGGAAAAGAAAUCAAAUGAGAUUCCCUAAGUAGCGGCGAGCGAACGGGGAACAGGGCAAACCAGUAGCUUGCUACUGGGGUUGUGGACUGCAAUAUCCACUUGAAUAAUGAAGCAGAAGUAUUUGGAAAGAUACAUCACAGAGGGUGAUAGUCCCGUAUGCGAAACAUUAUUUAUAGGUAGCAGUAUCCAGAGUAGGUCAGGACACGUGAAAUCCGGACUGAAGCAGGGGAGACCACUCUCCAACCCUAAAUACUACU